AGAUCAACGUCGGGAGAACCAGACAACUGGUGCCGAAGGAGCAACCGCCUCGGAAACUCUCAGGCCAACGGACCGAUGUUGAUAC
This 85-nucleotide non-coding RNA is filed under the name Octadecabacter antarcticus. Its description in RNAcentral is "Glycine sequence". It matches the Rfam family "Glycine riboswitch aptamer". From Rfam's summary of the family: This family represents the bacterial glycine riboswitch. Glycine riboswitches usually consist of two metabolite-binding aptamers domains with similar structures in tandem. Lineage: Bacteria; Pseudomonadati; Pseudomonadota; Alphaproteobacteria; Rhodobacterales; Roseobacteraceae. The record is from RNAcentral.